AAAAAAGCAGUGGCCUGUUGCCCUUGUGAACAGGUCUCUUGUAAACUGCAGCGAAAUCACUUGCAAUGUUAUUGGGUGAACACCCAUGUUUGAUUCUAGUAACUAAAGGUUCAGUAAAUGAUGCCACAUUC
Tripterygium wilfordii is the source of this 131-nucleotide small nucleolar RNA. RefSeq annotates it as small nucleolar RNA snoR74. The record is from RefSeq and is a predicted model, not a curated record. NCBI's taxonomy places the organism in Eukaryota, Viridiplantae, Streptophyta, Magnoliopsida, Celastrales, Celastraceae. The transcript has a single exon.